RNAcentral lists this non-coding RNA (106 nucleotides) under Habropoda laboriosa. Lineage: Eukaryota; Metazoa; Arthropoda; Insecta; Hymenoptera; Apidae. The record is from RNAcentral.
GUGUCGUGUGAAAGGAGAGACGUUUAGCACUCCCCUAGAGAAAGAUGGAAACGUGUAAAUUGGUAAGGCACCGUCGUCAUUUGACGACACUUACCAAAGGAGGCCU